Molecule: ribosomal RNA, 498 nt
Filed under: Triticum aestivum (bread wheat)
Lineage: Eukaryota; Viridiplantae; Streptophyta; Magnoliopsida; Poales; Poaceae
Description: partial small subunit ribosomal RNA
Source: RNAcentral
CUCAACAAGCCUGGCAGGGUGGCACUCGCUUAGUCGGUCCUCACGGCCAUGGCCACCUUCCACAUCACAGCUCUCAACCUAUUGAAGGGGACGCUUAGAAAGAUCGACAAAAUCAUUUGGGCCUUCAUCUGGCAAAAAGAGGACCAAGCUCAGACUUCGGGAGGUCACUCCCUUGUUAACUGGAAGACCGUCUGCCGUCCAAGGCAUCUGGGCGGCCUUGGGAUUAUUGACCUGGAGAGAUUUAGCCGCGCCCUGCGCCUCCGGUGGCCUUGGCUGCUAUGGACUGACCCAGAAAGGCCAUGGGUGGGAUCGGAGCUGUCGUGUGAUGAAUCAGAUAUGAGCCUCUUUCGCGCAUGUACCUCGAUUACGCUGGGCAAUGGACAGAAGGCGCUGUUCUGUAUGACAACUGGAAAGGUGACGGUCCACUCAAGCUUCUUGCUCCACAGCUCUACAAGAUUGCCUCAAGAAAGAACAGAUCGGUGCACAACGAGCUCAUGA